This 432-nucleotide ribosomal RNA is filed under the name Triticum aestivum (bread wheat). RNAcentral's name for it is "partial small subunit ribosomal RNA". Lineage: Eukaryota; Viridiplantae; Streptophyta; Magnoliopsida; Poales; Poaceae. The record is from RNAcentral.
CUUAGCAAAUCUCUUAGUCCACGAGCUCAAGCACUAUCGACGUAUGAAAAAGAAUGCUUAGCACUCAUCAUGGUUGUUGACAAAUGGCGAUCAUAUUUGCAGCAUCUUCCAUUUACUAUAUACACCGAUCACUAGAGUUUGGUUCAUUUGGAGUCACAACAGUUAACAAAUAGCAUUCAACAUAAAGCGUUUUGCAAGUUGGUUGGGUUGCAAUAUCAGGUGAGGUACAAGCAAGGCUCCUUGAACACUGUUGUUGAUGCUCUUUCUAGGACACCACAAGACUCUAAACUCAAUGCCAUAUCUCGAGGGCAACCUAAAUGGUUAGAAGUCAUCAGUGACAGCUACUCGCACGAUCCAGAAGCGAAACAAUUGCUCACAAGAUUGAGUGUGGUUAGUCCUGAUGACAAGGGCUUCACUCUCCAUGAGGGGUGA